GUAGUNGGGAWKCAUAUCUUCGGUCGAUUCUCAAACUUUAAAUACGCAAGAUAGAGGUGGUUGCUUAGUUGAACCUCUCUACUGAAAACGUCGGCCCUGUGGGCCACUUUUGGUAAGCAGAACUGGCGAUAUGGGAUGAACCAUAAGUUUGGUUAAGGCGUCAAAAUACCCGCUUAAAGAUCCCACAAAAGGUGUUGGUUCAUCUAGACAGCAGGACGGUGGCCAUGGAAGUCGGAAUCCGCUAAGGAGUGUGUAACAACUCACCUGCCGAAUGAACUAGCCCUGAAAAUGGAUGACGCUUAAGCGGGUUGCCGACACCAGACCGUUUCGAUAAGAAGCGAUCGAAAUGAGUAGGAGGGCGUGGCGGUUUUGUUGAGAAGGAUGAGACGCAAGUCUAUCUGAAACGGCCGCUAGUGCAGAUCUUGGUGGUAGUAGCAAAUAUUCAAGCGAGAUCCUUGAAGGGCGAAGCGGGGAAGGGUUCCACGCGAACAUUGAUUGGGCGUGGGUGAGUCGUUCCUAAGCCGGGUGGUAAUCGUUCUUCGAUCGGCGAAAGGGAAGCGGGUUAAAAUUCUCGCACACGGAUGUGGAGGCGGUGACGCAAAUUGAGGUGGAGACGUUAGCGGUGGCACUGGGCAGAGUUUUCUUUUCUGUUUAACCUGUGAGUGCACUCUGUGGAAUCCGAUUAUCGGGCGAAACAGGUGCUUAUGGGAAGAGCGUCGGGGCGUCCCCGGCGUCCAGUACGCCACCGAUAGCCCUUGAAAAUCCAUCUGCAAUGAAAUUUCACGCCGUGGCGUACCGAUAACCGCAUCAGGUCCCCAAGGUGAACAGCCUCUGCUCAAUAUGAACAAUGCAGGUAAGGGAAGUCGGCAAAAUAGACCCGUAACUUUGGGAAAAGGGUUGGCUCUAGUGGGGUGAAGGAUUACCCUGAGUCAUUGGGAUUUGUCCGAGUUUGUAUCGGGCGGA
RNAcentral lists this ribosomal RNA (963 nucleotides) under Lithophyllum kotschyanum. Its description in RNAcentral is "eukaryotic LSU rRNA". It matches the Rfam family "Eukaryotic large subunit ribosomal RNA", at positions 1026 to 2014 of the family's 3401-position model. Lineage: Eukaryota; Rhodophyta; Florideophyceae; Corallinales; Lithophyllaceae. The record is from RNAcentral.